This 73-nucleotide transfer RNA is filed under the name Microgenomates group bacterium ADurb.Bin219. RNAcentral describes it as "tRNA-His". It matches the Rfam family "tRNA". From Rfam's summary of the family: Transfer RNA (tRNA) molecules are approximately 80 nucleotides in length. Their secondary structure includes four short double-helical elements and three loops (D, anti-codon, and T loops). Further hydrogen bonds mediate the characteristic L-shaped molecular structure. tRNAs have two regions of fundamental functional importance: the anti-codon, which is responsible for specific mRNA codon recognition, and the 3' end, to which the tRNAs corresponding amino acid is attached (by aminoacyl-tRNA synthetases). tRNAs cope with the degeneracy of the genetic code in two manners: having more than one tRNA (with a specific anti-codon) for a particular amino acid; and 'wobble' base-pairing, i.e. permitting non-standard base-pairing at the 3rd anti-codon position. The record is from RNAcentral.
GUGGCUGUAGCUCAAUGGUAGAGCGCUGGCCUGUGGAGCCGGAUGUUGCGGGUUCGAAUCCCGUCAGCUACCC